Molecule: ribosomal RNA, 279 nt
Filed under: uncultured bacterium
Lineage: Bacteria
Description: partial 16S ribosomal RNA
Rfam family: Bacterial small subunit ribosomal RNA
Source: RNAcentral
UGCCAGCAGCCGCGGUAAUACGAAGGGGGCUAGCGUUGUUCGGAAUCACUGGGCGUAAAGCGCGCGUAGGCGGUUUCGUAGGUCAGAUGUGAAAUCCCGGGGCUCAACCCCGGAAGUGCAUUUGAAACCCCGGAACUUGAGUAUGGGAGAGGGAAGUGGAAUUCCAGGUGUAGAGGUGAAAUUCGUAGAUAUCUGGAGGAACACCGGUGGCGAAGGCGACUUCCUGGACCAAUACUGACGCUGAGGUGCGAAGGCGUGGGGAGCAACCAGGAUUAGAUA